GGCGGAUGCGACGCGCGGUGCUGAAACCAUGGCGGCGUGGACAUACGAGUGCGGGUCCAGUUAUGACCAUGUGGAGAUAUCUGGAUGCCAAGUUGGCAACUGACAUCUCCAUCUGACUGCCUCCCCUUUCUUAAGCAGAUAACCUUUUGGGAAUUUCCUGGGUUGAUAGUGCUUGGAUUCCAAUAUUAAACAGUGGAAGUGUGUUGGAUUAUUUCUCAGAGCGUAGCAACCCAUUCUAUGAUCGAACGUGCAACAAUGAAAUGGUCAAAAUGCAAAGGCUAUCGCUGGAUCACCUAAAGUAAGUUACUGCUAGACAUUGGUAAAGUAAUCCUAUA
Molecule: non-coding RNA, 335 nt
Organism: Podarcis muralis (Common wall lizard)
Lineage: Eukaryota; Metazoa; Chordata; Lepidosauria; Squamata; Lacertidae
Source: RefSeq, a predicted model, not a curated record